GAUGAACGCUGGCGGCGUGCCUAAUACAUGCAAGUCGAGCGAACAGACGAGGAGCUUGCUCCUCUGACGUUAGCGGCGGACGGGUGAGUAACACGUGGAUAACCUACCUAUAAGACUGGGAUAACUUCGGGAAACCGGAGCUAAUACCGGAUAAUAUAUUGAACCGCAUGGUUCAAUAGUGAAAGACGGUUUUGCUGUCACUUAUAGAUGGAUCCGCGCCGCAUUAGCUAGUUGGUAAGGUAACGGCUUACCAAGGCAACGAUGCGUAGCCGACCUGAGAGGGUGAUCGGCCACACUGGAACUGGGACACGGUCCAGACGCCUACGGGAGGCAGCAGUAGGGAAUCUUCCGCAAUGGGCGAAAGCCUGACGGAGCAACGCCGCGUGAGUGAUGAAGGUCCUCGGAUCGUAAAACUCGGUUAUUAGGGAAGAACAAAUGUGUAAGUAACUAAGCACGUCUUGACGGUACCUAAUCAGAAAGCCACGGCUAACUACGUGC
Molecule: ribosomal RNA, 498 nt
Filed under: uncultured bacterium
Lineage: Bacteria
Description: partial 16S ribosomal RNA
Rfam family: Bacterial small subunit ribosomal RNA
Source: RNAcentral